AUUGAACGCUGGCGGCAUGCCUUACACAUGCAAGUCGAACGGCAGCACGGGAGCAAUCCUGGUGGCGAGUGGCGAACGGGUGAGUAAUAUAUCGGAACGUGCCCAGUCGUGGGGAUAACGUAGCGAAAGCUACGCUAAUACCGCAUACGAUCUAUGGAUGAAAGCGGGGGAUCGCAAGACCUCGCGCGAUUGGAGCGGCCGAUAUCAGAUUAGGUAGUUGGUGAGGUAAAGGCUCACCAAGCCGACGAUCUGUAGCUGGUCUGAGAGGACGACCAGCCACACUGGGACUGAGACACGGCCCAGACUCCUACGGGAGGCAGCAGUGGGGAAUUUUGGACAAUGGGCGCAAGCCUGAUCCAGCAAUGCCGCGUGCAGGAUGAAGGCCGUUCGGUUGUAACUGUCUUUGUACGGUAACGGAACGGUAGAGCUCUAAUACUAGUUGUCUAAUGACGGUACGUAAGAAUAAGACACCGGACUAACUACGUCG
RNAcentral lists this ribosomal RNA (487 nucleotides) under uncultured bacterium. Its description in RNAcentral is "bacterial SSU rRNA". It matches the Rfam family "Bacterial small subunit ribosomal RNA", at positions 30 to 508 of the family's 1533-position model. The record is from RNAcentral.